This 196-nucleotide small nuclear RNA is filed under the name Lupinus albus (white lupine). Its description in RNAcentral is "U2 spliceosomal RNA". It matches the Rfam family "U2 spliceosomal RNA". From Rfam's summary of the family: U2 is a small nuclear RNA (snRNA) component of the spliceosome (involved in pre-mRNA splicing). Complementary binding between U2 snRNA (in an area lying towards the 5' end but 3' to hairpin I) and the branchpoint sequence (BPS) of the intron results the bulging out of an unpaired adenosine, on the BPS, which initiates a nucleophilic attack at the intronic 5' splice site, thus starting the first of two transesterification reactions that mediate splicing. The record is from Rfam by way of RNAcentral. Lineage: Eukaryota; Viridiplantae; Streptophyta; Magnoliopsida; Fabales; Fabaceae.
AUACCUUUCUCGGCCUUUUGGCUAAGAUCAAGUGUAGUAUCUGUUCUUAUCAGUUUAAUAUCUGAUAUGUGGGUCAUUGGCCCACACGAUAUUAAAUUACUUUUUUAAUGGGGAGUUGUCACCACAAUAGCUUGCUAUUGGACUUCUCACGCAUCGCCUAUGCGUUGCACUAUUGCAUGGGCUUGGCGCACCCUCC